CCCAACUCUCAGCGGCGUACUCUUCCCAACGAGGAUCUUGACCUGACGCCGUGUCUUGGUGGGAAAAACAGAUUCGUUACGUCGCCGCGACGCUGUUCCUAACACUCGCGCACGUCGGAUAGAUUUACGCGCGUUUUCAUACUCGAGGAAAAGUGGACCGGAGUCGGGUUCCGGCGAGAUCGUACACACGUCGGAGCAAGGACACGGGUUUAAAAAGAAAGUGGGUGUGACAGAUCGAAACAGAAGGAUGGAAGAGGAUGGAAAGAAGUAGAGAUAGAGAGAUGGAAGAAGGUAGGAAGAACUGACGGGAAGAGAGAAGGAACGAUGGAUAAAAAGAAAGGAAGAAGGGCAGAUGUACAAAAUGAAGAACGGAAGGAUGAGGAAAAGGAGGACUGGAAUACGGAGGCAGGACGGACGAAGUGGGGGGUGGGGGUGGGUGGGGGGGGACGGAUGGAAGGAAGGACACAAAAGGAAGAGUGGGAAAAGAAAGAAAACGAUGGAAGGAGCGCCAGGAAGAAGGGAGAUCAAAAGCGUGAAUGAGUGGAAUGGAGCGAGGGGAAUAAAGAAGGAAGGAAGGAAGAAAAAGGAAAUAAGGAAGGAAGGAGGGAAGGAAAGAAGGCGAGAAGGAAGGAAGGAAGGAAGGAAGGAAAGAAGGAAAGAAGGAAAGAAGGCGAGAGGUAAGGAAGGAAGGAAGGAAGGAAGGAAGAAAAAGGAAAUAAGGAAGGAAGGAAAGAAGGCGAGAAGGAAGGAAGGAAGGAAGGAAGGAAGGAAAGAAGGAAGGAAGGAAAGAAGGAAGGAAGGAAAGAAGGAAAGAAGGCGAG
This is a long non-coding RNA of Ictalurus punctatus (channel catfish), 821 nucleotides long. NCBI's taxonomy places the organism in Eukaryota, Metazoa, Chordata, Actinopteri, Siluriformes, Ictaluridae. The record is from Ensembl.